RNAcentral lists this ribosomal RNA (948 nucleotides) under Bacillus velezensis. Its description in RNAcentral is "bacterial SSU rRNA". It matches the Rfam family "Bacterial small subunit ribosomal RNA", at positions 42 to 971 of the family's 1533-position model. The record is from RNAcentral. Lineage: Bacteria; Bacillati; Bacillota; Bacilli; Caryophanales; Bacillaceae.
GUGCGCAGCUAUAAUGCAAGUCGAGCGGACAGAUGGGAGCUUGCUCCCUGAUGUUAGCGGCGGACGGGUGAGUAACACGUGGGUAACCUGCCUGUAAGACUGGGAUAACUCCGGGAAACCGGGGCUAAUACCGGAUGGUUGUCUGAACCGCAUGGUUCAGACAUAAAAGGUGGCUUCGGCUACCACUUACAGAUGGACCCGCGGCGCAUUAGCUAGUUGGUGAGGUAACGGCUCACCAAGGCGACGAUGCGUAGCCGACCUGAGAGGGUGAUCGGCCACACUGGGACUGAGACACGGCCCAGACUCCUACGGGAGGCAGCAGUAGGGAAUCUUCCGCAAUGGACGAAAGUCUGACGGAGCAACGCCGCGUGAGUGAUGAAGGUUUUCGGAUCGUAAAGCUCUGUUGUUAGGGAAGAACAAGUGCCGUUCAAAUAGGGCGGCACCUUGACGGUACCUAACCAGAAAGCCACGGCUAACUACGUGCCAGCAGCCGCGGUAAUACGUAGGUGGCAAGCGUUGUCCGGAAUUAUUGGGCGUAAAGGGCUCGCAGGCGGUUUCUUAAGUCUGAUGUGAAAGCCCCCGGCUCAACCGGGGAGGGUCAUUGGAAACUGGGGAACUUGAGUGCAGAAGAGGAGAGUGGAAUUCCACGUGUAGCGGUGAAAUGCGUAGAGAUGUGGAGGAACACCAGUGGCGAAGGCGACUCUCUGGUCUGUAACUGACGCUGAGGAGCGAAAGCGUGGGGAGCGAACAGGAUUAGAUACCCUGGUAGUCCACGCCGUAAACGAUGAGUGCUAAGUGUUAGGGGGUUUCCGCCCCUUAGUGCUGCAGCUAACGCAUUAAGCACUCCGCCUGGGGAGUACGGUCGCAAGACUGAAACUCAAAGGAAUUGACGGGGGCCCGCACAAGCGGUGGAACAUGUGGUUUAAUUCGAAGCAACGCGAAGAACCU